GUGACGAAUUUUGCCGUUCUGCGAACAACGUACCUGCUGCACCAUUCCAGGCCGCUUGGUGCUCAUACUGUGGGCACAGCCCAGUACAACAUGCUCGAAUUGGGACAACCCAGGACGUGUAUUUCUCAGCACCCAGUCAACUGCCAGAAGUGACUCAUACACAGGCCGCCAGUGGCACUCAGCUGUACCACUGCACUGCUGCUGAAAUUGCCAGCACCAGCGGCUUUGUAACAGCUGUUUCACAGCAUCUCGGAGACAAUGGCUACGAAAUUAUUGGCCCUGAUGACGAGAGCCCUCAAGGGGCAAACGACAUCUCUGUUGCAGAAGUGAGCCCGAUACCACCUUAAGUUACCAUAACAGAUGACACGGCUGCAAUAGAUACAUAGACUGCCGUGUCUACUGCAGCUGCAACAGUGUACGAGGUAAGCAGCAGC
This is a long non-coding RNA of Dermacentor silvarum, 434 nucleotides long. RefSeq lists it as uncharacterized. The transcript has 4 exons. Lineage: Eukaryota; Metazoa; Arthropoda; Arachnida; Ixodida; Ixodidae. The record is from RefSeq and is a predicted model, not a curated record.